This is a long non-coding RNA of Antechinus flavipes (yellow-footed antechinus), 827 nucleotides long. RefSeq lists it as uncharacterized. Lineage: Eukaryota; Metazoa; Chordata; Mammalia; Dasyuromorphia; Dasyuridae. The transcript has 3 exons. The record is from RefSeq and is a predicted model, not a curated record.
AGCUUGGUCAGGAGAGUUAAAUCAUCAUCACCACCUCUUUCCCCGAGAUCCAUGUGAACUGACUUGAAAAGCCUUGGUUAUAUCAGUCUUCUGCCCUUCUCUCAAGCUCCUCCCCAUAGUAGUCCUGCUUCUAACCAGGGCCCCAUAGCCAUUCCUAAGAGAGGAAAUCACUGGGAAGGAACUCACCUUCCUCAUCACCACUACACCACUAACUGUUGACCAUCAUCAAUUGGAAAUCAGAAGUGCGUGUCAGAGUUCCAACAAUUAAGCUUUAUGAUGGUGUUAUGAUAGAUGUCCUUUCUGUGGAUUUUCCAAAUGGCAAAGUAAUUGAAAACUCACCAGAUGGAACAAACACAAGACUAAUUUUUCACAUCAGUUUUAAAUCAACAAGGCCAGUGUCUUUUUCAGCUGAUGUGCUAUUUUUGGAUGACAAAAAUAACUGAGGAAGAAAGCGAUUCCCCUCCUUCAAACAAGGGAAUGCCGGAUCCCAUUUCUCUCCCAAGAAUACCAUCUCCCAUCCAGAGCCCCAAAACCAGUAUUGAUUCUGCAUUACACAAUCAAGAUUCCCUUUUCAGUAUGUAAUACAAAAUGCGUACUUCUAUAACCAAAUAUAUAUAGCACUAAAUUUGUAAAUUCAUUUUUUGUAGCACAGCUCACAAUAUACUUUGAAAAAAAUUAUAGUCAGUUCUCUAUUACUCUCAGAUGGACUAUAUGUUCUUUGGAUUAUUUCUAUUGACCAGAGUCAGACCAGAUUAUGAUUCUAUGCGUGUAUGUUGUGUGUAUGUAUGUGCAUGUAUAUAUGUAAUUAUAUACAUAUAUAUAUGAUU